This 2724-nucleotide long non-coding RNA is filed under the name Marmota monax (woodchuck). Lineage: Eukaryota; Metazoa; Chordata; Mammalia; Rodentia; Sciuridae. The record is from RNAcentral.
GCUUUGUAUCUAGGCCUUAAAGACUUCAAACAGGACAAAAGAUAAUGAAGCUUCUUCCCAUUCCUCAUCCCAAGUAACCACUAUUACCCAGUUCUAGUGGAUCCCUUCAAUGUUCAAAGCUCAUUUAUGUCUCUCUUUAAAAUGGUAGUUGGGGAUAGGAGUGUAUCUAGUGGGAGAACACAUGCAUAGCAUGUGCCAGGCCCUGUGUUCAAAGUAACAAACCAUACACAACUGACUUGCUUUUUGUUUUGUAGUACAUACAGGUCUACCUCAUUCUUUCAGUGGCUGCUGAAUAUUCUAACUUUAGAUAUGCCAUUAUUUAACCUGUCCUUUGGUGAGGUACUUGAAUUGCCUCAAACCUACCUUACCCUGCAGUGGCAUAUGUGUGCACAUAACUUGGGAGUGGCAUAAUGACCAGGAUGGAGGUUAUGUAUAUUUAAAACUUUGAUAGAUACUGCCAAUUUUCCUCUAAAAGAAACUGCUGAUUUACACUUACAUAAUGUAUUAUCUGAUCACAACCUCACAUAAUAUAUUAGCAGAAUUCUUGGUUUUGAAGAAAUUUUUAGAACUUAUACUGUAGCAAGCAUCCUUUUAGGAAACCCUUAUGCAAUGUUACAUUCAGCUGAUGAUGUGUAGCCUGAAGACAUGCAGGUAUGAGCUGAAGGUGCCGCCCUCAGUAGUUUUCAAGUUCAUUCUUAACUGAUUAGUUACUUUUGUUAAAUCUGUCAACAGUCACCCUAGUCAUUCUUUUCAUUUCCUUAUUGUAAGGGUUAUAUAGAUUUCCAAGGGUUUUAGGAAAUAAAUAUUUAUUCACAAUGAUAAUGUAACUUUCAUAUUUUUAAAUCCCUAUUAGUAAAGCAGAAGACCAUCUACAAAGGCAGAAAGGAAAGCAACUGCCUUACACUUCUGUAAAAAAAGUAUAGCAUGUAGUUGCUAAAAGGUGUGAGUAGAUCAAGUUAACCGGAACUUAAAAGUAUCUUGGUCAGUCACUGAAUUCCGAAACUUGAUCCAAGACAAAUAUUGAGUGUUAAAAUUCUGCCUGUGAUCACACAUGGGGAAUCAGAACCCCAAGGGUUGCAUUUUCCUCACUUCAGAGCAGUUACUGCAGAACACCACUGCCGGUCCUGGAAAGACACAAAGUCCAUAGGAACUCCUUUCUACUCUCAUUAAAAGAAAAUGAUUCCUUAUAGGUAAGCACAUGCUAUUCUCCGCACUCUGCUCUUUAGUCCCUGAGUUCAAUCAAAAGUGCCAGAAGUGAAAGGAGAAGUCAUUUGCUACCCAAUCCUCUUGCUUUGGCUACCAAGCAUGGACGUUAAAAUGAUGAUGAAAUUAGAAUGCGUACCCAAGACUGCUAGAUCUCCAGUGGACUCUUGACAACCACUGGAAAGAACCAGUGUUGCUAGACCAUCCACUUUUUCAAGAGAAGCCAGGAAUCUGAAGUUUUGUGAACUCUCCCAGCUUUUACAUGCUAACUACCAACUCAAACAUUUUUGAAACACUGCUGAACAGAAUGAGCAUGGCAUCGCAGUUUCUAACCUCUGGGUCAUAAAUUCAGGGGUCGAAAGCAGACUCCUCUAUGCUUAGAGCUGUCUAGGAAGGCAAAACUACUAAUAACUGUUUAUAGGAAUACAUGUGUCCCUUUUUUAGAUACACAAAGAAGAAAAAUUAUUGGGAUCUUUAAAAACACCUUAAGAGCUUCAUUAUCGAUUCAUUGCUAGUGAAACAAUUAUGAUAAAUUCUUUUUAAUGAGAAGAUCACUAAUUGCCUAGAUUAUCUAGUCAUUCACUGGAAUGCUGUAUAGAGGUGUGCAGAAAACAUAGUUUUGGGUUUUUUGGGUUUUUUUGUAAACUCUAAACAUAUUAGAAAGGCUUCUAGGCAAACUGUACCAAGGAGCAGGAAUAACUGAAUUUUGCAACUGGAAGAAUAAAAUAGAAGCUUUUCAGAAUGUGGAAGAAAAAUAGGGUACUGGGUAUAUUGUAUAGAUUUAGUCACAGGAUUAGAAACAACUUACUCUGUUUGAACAGAUCCAUCUAGCUGGCCAAGUAUAACUUUCAGGGAUCAAUUUUAGCCAUAAUAUUUCUUUUUGAAAGAAAAUUUUGCACCUCUGUUGCUGUACAUUUACAUACGUAUGCUGUUAUGCCAUGUCAACUUUUGAAGUAACUUGCAACCCACUCCCUGAAUGCAUUUUAUUCCAAAGUGGACAGUACCAUUAAGAAUAAAAAUUAGUAGCCUUAAUACUAGUGAUUUCAGCAUUUUUAGGUAACUGAAUCAAGCAAGUGAUGUUGCUUGAUGGCUACUAAUCUAAAUCCACUCACCACAAAACUGAUCUUGCAGAGUGAUGCAAAACACUGAACUGCAGGAGUCAGGAGAGAUGAGUUAGGAAACCUACCUCUCAUUAAGGUUCUGACGGUGUUCAUACUGUAAUAUGAGAGUGGUAGACCAACUCAAAGGUUUCUUUCCAGCUUUAGACUUCUGUGGAGAUUAAAUUUAUUAUAUUAUUGGUCUGAAGAGCCUUCUCAGUAUAAUGUGUUUUUUCUUUUCUGACUCUUCAUUUACCAACAUGUUUGUCUGAUAAGGAUCCCUGAAAGAAUGAUCCCCACUCCUUCCUCUAUCACCAAGACCAUGGCUUAAGGGAGCUGGGAGUUUUAAGAGGGUUGGGUGUAUGUGUGUGUGUAAUUAAUACUUGAGAUUCUGAGUAAGAGGAUAAUCUAAAUAAUGAAAUAG